Molecule: ribosomal RNA, 497 nt
Filed under: uncultured bacterium
Lineage: Bacteria
Description: partial 16S ribosomal RNA
Rfam family: Bacterial small subunit ribosomal RNA
Source: RNAcentral
GAUGAACGCUGGCGGCGUGCCUAAUACAUGCAAGUCGAGCGAACAGACGAGGAGCUUGCUCCUCUGACGUUAGCGGCGGACGGGUGAGUAACACGUGGAUAACCUACCUAUAAGACUGGGAUAACUUCGGGAAACCGGAUCUAAUACCGGAGAAUAUAUUGAACCGCAUGGUUCAAUAGUGAAAGACGGCUUUGCUGUCACUUAUAGAUGAAUCCGCGCCGCAUUAGCUAGUUGGUAAGGUAACGGCUUACCAAGGCAACGAUGCGUAGCCGACCUGAGAGGGUGAUCGGCCACACUGGAACUGAGACACGGUCCAGACUCCUACGGGAGGCAGCAGUAGGGAAUCUUCCGCAAUGGGCGAAAGCCUGACGGAGCAACGCCGCGUGAGUGAUGAAGGUCUUCGGAUCGUAAAACUCUGUUAUUAGGGAAGAACAAAUGUGUAAGUAACUAUGCACGUCUUGACGGUACCUAAUCAGAAAGCCACGGCUAACUACGUG